This 528-nucleotide ribosomal RNA is filed under the name Incrucipulum ciliare. Its description in RNAcentral is "partial 28S rDNA". It matches the Rfam family "Eukaryotic large subunit ribosomal RNA", at positions 77 to 607 of the family's 3401-position model. The record is from RNAcentral. Lineage: Eukaryota; Fungi; Ascomycota; Leotiomycetes; Helotiales; Lachnaceae.
ACCUCAGUAACGGCGAGUGAAGCGGUAACAGCUCAAAUUUGAAAUCUGGUCCUUUCAGGGCCCGAGUUGUAAUUUGUAGAAGAUGCUUUGGGUGUGGCCCCGGUCUAAGUUCCUUGGAACAGGACGUCAUAGAGGGUGAGAAUCCCGUAUGUGACUGGGUGCUUUCGCCCGUGUAAAGCUCUUUCGACGAGUCGAGUUGUUUGGGAAUGCAGCUCUAAAUGGGUGGUAUAUUUCAUCUAAAGCUAAAUAUUGGCCAGAGACCGAUAGCGCACAAGUAGAGUGAUCGAAAGAUGAAAAGCACUUUGGAAAGAGAGUUAAACAGUACGUGAAAUUGUUGAAAGGGAAGCGCUUGCAACCAGACUCGCAUGCCGUCGAUCAUCCUGGGUUCUCCCUGGUGCACUCGGCGGCGUUCGGGCCAGCAUCGGUUUUGGUGGCGGGAUAAAGGCCUUGGGAAUGUAGCUCCUCUCGGGGAGUGUUAUAGCCCUCGGUGCAAUGCCGCCUACCGGGACCGAGGACCGCGCUUCGGCU